RNAcentral lists this long non-coding RNA (1164 nucleotides) under Chlamydomonas reinhardtii. RNAcentral's name for it is "long non-coding RNA (CREI_LNC001070)". Lineage: Eukaryota; Viridiplantae; Chlorophyta; Chlorophyceae; Chlamydomonadales; Chlamydomonadaceae. The record is from RNAcentral.
CGUGCGUCUGUUGGCUGUAGUGUAGCUGCUACCUUCCACCUGCGAUCGCAGCCUACCUAUCUACAUGCCUGUCGUGCAGCAGCGCAAGCAUGGAUGUAGCAUGCAUGGGCGCAGGCCCCAGCUUCGUUCGUGUGCGCUUGCGUGCGUGCUGGGCAGCUGACAUAUAUGGCACAUACAGGCCGGCGGCUGGGUCUGGCGCCGACCUGCGUUGUGCGUGCGGUUCACUGCUGUCGUCUGUGUGCAGCUACUGGCUCGCUGACUUGGUGUGUGUUACGCUCCCCACCCCCGCCUGGUGUGUGACACAGCCAAGAUGGAGAAGGCGGUCGCCGAGGCGAAGGGUAAGUGCUAGCUAGGCAUGCUGCGUGCGUCUGUUGGCUGUAGUUUAGCUGCUACCUUCCACCUGCGAUCGCAGCCUACCUAUCUACAUGCCUGUCGUGCAGCAGCGCAAGCAUGGAUGUAGCAUGCAUGGGCGCAGGCCCCAGCUUCGUUCGUGUGCGCUUGCGUGCGUGCUGGGCAGCUGACAUAUAUGGCACAUACAGGCCGGCGGCUGGGUCUGGCGCCGACCUGCGUUGUGCGUGCGGCGGUUCACUGCUGUCGUCUGUGUGCAGCUACUGGCUCGCUGACUGAGCUGACUUGGUGCGUGUUACGCUCCCCACCCCCGCCUGGUGUGUGACACAGCCAAGAUGGAGAAGGCGGUCGCCGAGGCGAAGGGUAAGUGCUAUCUAGGCCUCCUGCUUGCGUCUGUUGCCUGUGGUUUAGCUGCUACCUUCUACAUGCGAUCGAAGCCCUACCUGCCUGUCAUGAUGCCGCGCGAGCAUGUAUGGAUGUAGUAUGGCAUGGGCGCAGGCCCCAGCUACCUUCUGUCAAUCCCUGUGUACGUUCCCGUGCGCUUGCUUGUGCGUGUGUCUGCGCCUGCGCGCGUGCGUGUGCAUGUAUGUGUGCUUAAGAGUGCUUUACAACCUUGCCGUCACCUCUCCUCUUUACUGAACUGGCCGAGAUAGCGUAGCAUCAAUGCUGUACUGCGCGGUAGAUGGCUGGGCUGGGGCCGACCUGCUUUGUGUGUGCAGUCAACUGCUAUCGUCUGUGUGCAGCUGCUGCUGGCUCACGGGCUUAGCUGACUUGGUGUGUUACGCUCCCUAACCCUUCCUGCCGUGUGAUACAGCC